CCUACGGGUGGCAGCAGUGAGGAAUAUUGGUCAAUGGGCGCGAGCCUGAACCAGCCAAGUAGCGUGAAGGAUGACUGCCCUACGGGUUGUAAACUUCUUUUAUAAAGGAAUAAAGUGAGGCACGUGUGCCAUGUUGCAUGUACUUUAUGAAUACGGAUCGGCUAACUCCGUGCCAGCAGCCGCGGUAAUACGGAGGAUCCGAGCGUUAUCCGGAUUUAUUGGGUUUAAAGGGAGCGUAGAUGGGUUGUUAAGUCAGUUGUGAAAGUUUGCGGCUCAACCGUAAAACUGAAAGUGAUACUGGAAGCCUUGAGUACAGUUGAGGUAGGCGGAAUUCGUGGUGUAGCGGUGAAAUGCGUAGAUAUCACGAAGAACUCCGAUUGCGAAGGCAGCUUACUAAACUGCCACUGACAUUGAUGCUCGAAAGUGUGGGUAUCAAACAGGAUUAGAUACCCUUGUAGUC
This 460-nucleotide ribosomal RNA is filed under the name uncultured bacterium. Its description in RNAcentral is "partial 16S ribosomal RNA". It matches the Rfam family "Bacterial small subunit ribosomal RNA", at positions 338 to 795 of the family's 1533-position model. The record is from RNAcentral.